CCUACGUGUGGCAGCAGUGGGGAAUAUUGGACAAUGGGCGAAAGCCUGAUCCAGCCAUGCCGCGUGUGUGAAGAAGGCCUUCGGGUUGUAAAGCACUUUCAGUGGGGAAGAAAGCCUUGGGGCUAAUACCCUCGAGGAAGGACAUCACCCACAGAAGAAGCACCGGCUAACUCCGUGCCAGCAGCCGCGGUAAUACGGAGGGUGCGAGCGUUAAUCGGAAUUACUGGGCGUAAAGCGCGCGUAGGCGGUCUGAUAAGCCGGUUGUGAAAGCCCCGGGCUCAACCUGGGAACGGCAUCCGGAACUGUCAGGCUAGAGUGCAGGAGAGGAAGGUAGAAUUCCCGGUGUAGCGGUGAAAUGCGUAGAGAUCGGGAGGAAUAUCAGUGGCGAAGGCGGUCUUCUGGACUGACACCGACGCUGCGGUGCUCAACCGCGGCUACCAAUCAGGAUAAGAUACCCUUGUAGUC
Molecule: ribosomal RNA, 465 nt
Filed under: Vreelandella stevensii
Lineage: Bacteria; Pseudomonadati; Pseudomonadota; Gammaproteobacteria; Oceanospirillales; Halomonadaceae
Description: partial 16S ribosomal RNA
Rfam family: Bacterial small subunit ribosomal RNA
Source: RNAcentral